UACGAGAGCCCCGAGCGUUAUCCGGAAUUAUUGGGCGUAAAGGGUGUGUAGGUGGUUGUAUUAGUCUUGUGUGAAAGCCUGUCGCCUAACGACAGAUCCGCACGGGAAACGGUACGACUUAGAGGGUGCAAGAGGUGUACGGAACUCAUGGUGUAGGGGUGAAAUCCGUUGAUAUCAUGGGGAACGCCAAAAGCGAAGGCAGUACACUGGUGCAUACCUGACACUGAAACACGAAAGCGUGGGUAGCGAAUGGG
Molecule: ribosomal RNA, 254 nt
Filed under: uncultured bacterium
Lineage: Bacteria
Description: partial 16S ribosomal RNA
Rfam family: Bacterial small subunit ribosomal RNA
Source: RNAcentral